CCUACGGGAGGCAGCAGUGGGGAAUAUUGGGCAAUGGGCGCAAGCCUGACCCAGCAAUGCCGCGUGAAGGAAGACGGCUUUCGGGUUGUAAACUUCUUUUAUGAGAAACGAAAGAAAUGACGGUACCAAAUGAAUAAGCCACGGCUAACUACGUGCCAGCAGCCGCGGUAAUCCGGAGGUGGCAAGCGUUAUCCGGAUUUACUGGGUGUAAAGGUCGUGUUGGCGGGUCUGCAAGUCAGAUGUGAAAAGUAGGGGCUCAACCCAUAACCUGCAUUUGAUACUGUAGUUCUUGAGUGAUGGAGAGGCAGGCGGAAUGCCGGGUGUAGCGGUGAAAUGCGUAGAUAUACGGAAGAACACCAGUGGCGAAGGCAGCCUGCUGGACAUUAACUGACGCUGAGGCGCGAAAGCGUGGGGAGCAAACAGGAUUAGAUACCCUAGUAGUC
Molecule: ribosomal RNA, 443 nt
Filed under: uncultured bacterium
Lineage: Bacteria
Description: partial 16S ribosomal RNA
Rfam family: Bacterial small subunit ribosomal RNA
Source: RNAcentral